GUGGAUUAGUGGCGAACGGGUGAGUAACACGUGGGCAAUCUGCCCUUCACUCUGGGACAAGCCCUGGAAACGGGGUCUAAUACCGGAUAACACUCUGUCCUGCAUGGGACGGGGUUAAAAGCUCCGGCGGUGAAGGAUGAGCCCGCGGCCUAUCAGCUUGUUGGUGGGGUAAUGGCCUACCAAGGCGACGACGGGUAGCCGGCCUGAGAGGGCGACCGGCCACACUGGGACUGAGACACGGCCCAGACUCCUACGGGAGGCAGCAGUGGGGAAUAUUGCACAAUGGGCGAAAGCCUGAUGCAGCGACGCCGCGUGAGGGAUGACGGCCUUCGGGUUGUAAACCUCUUUCAGCAGGGAAGAAGCGAAAGUGACGGUACCUGCAGAAGAAGCGCCGGCUAACUACGUGCCAGCAGCCGCGGUAAUACGUAGGGCGCAAGCGUUGUCCGGAAUUAUUGGGCGUAAAGAGCUCGUAGGCGGCUU
Molecule: ribosomal RNA, 480 nt
Filed under: Streptomyces sp.
Lineage: Bacteria; Bacillati; Actinomycetota; Actinomycetes; Kitasatosporales; Streptomycetaceae
Description: bacterial SSU rRNA
Rfam family: Bacterial small subunit ribosomal RNA
Source: RNAcentral